Molecule: ribosomal RNA, 486 nt
Filed under: uncultured bacterium
Lineage: Bacteria
Description: bacterial SSU rRNA
Rfam family: Bacterial small subunit ribosomal RNA
Source: RNAcentral
AAAUGAAUUGACGGGGACCCGCACAACCAGUGGAGCGUGUGGUUCAAUUUGAGACGAAGCAAAAAACCUCACCAAGGUUUGACAUGUAACCGUACAUUUCCCUAGAAAUAGGGAGAAAUCCGCAAGGAUGGUUACACAGGUGCUGCAUGGCUGUCGUCAGCUCGUGCCGUGAGGUGUCUUAUUAAGUUAAGAAACGAGUGCAACCCCUAUCUUGUGUUAAAUAUUCACAAGAGACUGCCCCGAUUUUAUCGGGGAGGAAGGAGGGGCGGACGUCAAGUCCGCAUGGCCCUUAUACCUUGGGCUACACACACCCUACAAUGGCGAAAAACAAUGCGUCGCAAGCCGGUAACGGCAAGCUAAUCGCUGAAAUUUCGCCUCAGUUCAGAUCGAGGUCUGAAAUUCGACCUCGUGAAGUCGGAAUUGGUAGUAAUCGCAAAUCAGCAGGUUGCGGUGAAUACGUUCUCGGGUCUUGUACACACCGCCCGU